RNAcentral lists this small RNA (675 nucleotides) under Cryptococcus neoformans H99. RNAcentral describes it as "Cryptococcus neoformans var. grubii H99 hypothetical RNA". Lineage: Eukaryota; Fungi; Basidiomycota; Tremellomycetes; Tremellales; Cryptococcaceae. The record is from RNAcentral.
AAAUAAUUACCUGCAGGGGAAGGGCCAUUCAUGACACAAUAUGCAAGGUGCAAGGAAAUGCGGGAAGGUCCAAUGCGAGGGAUUGCUCGAAGGAAGGGAAGAUGAUGAGCGGAGAUUUAUAAUCGAAAACGCCGCGGUAGUAGUCUUGGACGCACUAAUAAUACUUAUCACUAGGGCUAUCAAUAAUACCUUACUUACUAUCCACCACUCGUAUUCGACAAUGUUUUCAUUUCGACCGACUUCCACAACUGCACGCCAAUCCCUACUCCAACCGCCCCACCUGUCGACUUCGCGCGAAGCGAUUGACUCCGCUCUCUUCAAAUCAGGGCAGCGAGCCCCCUUGCUCACCGGCGGGGCAUUAAAACCCCUGAUUAUCUAUAAUGGUGGUCUGUUGAAGGAGAAAAACAAAGAGAAGUCAGUCGAUGGAAGAUGAAACUGGGAAAGGUAGGGGAAGAACAACCGCUAGCAAAGAUGUUUCCGGUGCUGCAAAUGAUCAGAUGACGACUGCAGAAGCUAGAAGUUGGCCGGCAGGAAUGAGGAGGGGAACCAAGUGAACUCUCACAUAAUGUUUGUUUUAGAUAACCAAUUACGAAAGAAGUAAAAACAUAAAUAGUAAAUUAACUCGAAAUGGACAUUUAUUAAAUUAGAUAGUCACACAUUUAUAGAGCAGCGAGG